Pipra filicauda (Wire-tailed manakin) is the source of this 1014-nucleotide long non-coding RNA. RefSeq lists it as uncharacterized. Lineage: Eukaryota; Metazoa; Chordata; Aves; Passeriformes; Pipridae. The transcript is spliced from 3 exons. The record is from RefSeq and is a predicted model, not a curated record.
GGAGGAGCUGUGCCCUGGAGCCGUGCCCUACAGCCCCCAUGGGGUGGGCACGGGGAAAGGGCUGCCCGCGGCUCCUCAGCCGGGCGCUGCUCUGAACGGGCACCCUGAGAUGCCUCACCCUGGACACGCCCCAGCGACAGCCCCAAAGGACCCAAAGAAUCCAGCCGGCACCCGGCAGUGUCGGCACGGCGGGGCUGCAGAGCAGCGCGGGCACCCAUUCCCAGGGCCCACCUCCCAGAGCUGUCCCGCGCCCCCCACGGGUGUCUCGCCCACCCCAAAUCCCUGCCCUUCCAGCCGGAGGUGCUCUGAAGGCAGGGCUGUGCAUCCCUUUCCUCGGGGAAAAGAACUCCCCGGGGCCGCUCCCGAGGCUCCGAAGGGACAGCGGCUUCCCGCCCGGAGAGACGUCCUCGCCCGUGCUCAGGGGCUGCCUCGCCCCGGGCCGGGAGCGCGUCCGGCCCCCGCCUUCUCCUGGGCCAACCCAUCCCCUGGAGCCCGGCCCGGGGCGGAAAAGCGGCCGAAUUCCAGGGAACUCGCUCAAGUCCCCCCAGGGACACCAGCGGGGUUGGGGGAGGAGGGUUAUAAACAGCAAAGUCUGUGCAACAUCAACCUGUCCUUGUCCCGAUCCCGCUGAGUAAACCUGGAACCGUGGCUUCUUCCUGGCAAACCUGGCGUUAAAGCAGCAGCUCUGCGGGGGAAGAUCCGGGCUCCAGGAGGCACUGGGAGGCUUUUCCAGCAGGAAUUCGGCAUGGAAUUGCGGGCUGUUUCCCCAGCUGGGAGCUGCAAGGAAUUCAGGCCAGGGAAUGGACAGCAGGGAACAGCUGUACAUGCAAAGGCAGAAAGAGAAGUUUCCCAGGGAGAAGAACAGGAACUCACAGCCACCAAGGCCUGACAGUCCCCUGCAGCCAGAGCUCAGCACACAGCCAGUCAGGCAAUUCCAGCAUCUAAAAGGAAAAAAAAAGAACAAAAAAAGUGAUUUAUUUUGGUUUAAAGUUACUUUAAGUUGUUCCAAGCAAA